RNAcentral lists this unclassified non-coding RNA (354 nucleotides) under uncultured fungus. RNAcentral describes it as "sequence contains ITS2". Lineage: Eukaryota; Fungi. The record is from RNAcentral.
AACGCAAAUUGCGCUCUCGGGAUAGGCCUGGGAGCACGCCUCUUUGAGUAUCGUUUCAACCAACUCGAAAGCGCUGCUUUAUUGCAUCGCUGACGGAGAAUGAGCGCUCUUGCGUUUGCGAGACGCUUUAAAUUGAGCGAGUGACUUGAUAUCUGUCGAAAGAUAGACUUCUGUCUGCGGUGACGAGGAUAACUUCACAUUCAGUUGUGAACCCUUCCAUCGUGACUGCAAGGCAGAGCUGUCUGCGAUAGCUGUCGCCUUGUCACGGCCCAUCUGUGGUCAUCUGUUGCGGUGAACACAGAACUCCAUUUUGAACUAGAUCUCAAAUGAAGCGAGAAAACCCGCUGAACUUAA